AUUAAACGCUGGCGGCAUGCCUAACACAUGCAAGUCGAACGCGAAAGCUCUUCGGAGUGAGUAGAGUGGCGGACGGGUGAGUAACGCGUGGGAAUCUACCUAAUAGUGGGGGACAACCAGUGGAAACGCUGGCUAAUACCGCAUACGCCCUACGGGGGAAAGACUUCGGUCGCUAUUGGAUGAGCCCGCGUCGGAUUAGCUUGUUGGUAGGGUAAAAGCCUACCAAGGCAACGAUCUGUAGCUGGUCUGAGAGGAUGAUCAGCCACACUGGGACUGAGACACGGCCCAG
RNAcentral lists this ribosomal RNA (289 nucleotides) under uncultured bacterium. RNAcentral's name for it is "partial 16S ribosomal RNA". It matches the Rfam family "Bacterial small subunit ribosomal RNA", at positions 30 to 334 of the family's 1533-position model. The record is from RNAcentral.